Long non-coding RNA from Hibiscus syriacus, 342 nucleotides. RefSeq lists it as uncharacterized. The transcript has 4 exons. The record is from RefSeq and is a predicted model, not a curated record. NCBI's taxonomy places the organism in Eukaryota, Viridiplantae, Streptophyta, Magnoliopsida, Malvales, Malvaceae.
AUGGGAGGGACUGCCAUAUGAAUUUGCCUGCAACAAUUGAAAGGCUUACUUGGUUUAAAACAUUUCACCACUGAUACCGACGUCGUUUCGGUUAUAAAAGCAGUUUUCCGGUACAAAGACGAGUGCAAGUGACAAAGUGUUGUUGCUGGCUUAGUCUUCCUUUGUUUCCUGCACACGGCUCGAUAUGUGAAGCAAAGAAAACCAAAGCUGUUCUGGGUAUCAGCUAUGUCUCCUAUGGCAGUUGUUGUGGCUGGUUGCCUUUAUGCAUAUUUCGGAAAGGCUGAGCAACAUGGAAUAGCAAUCGUGGGUGACUUGAAGAAGGGAUUGAAUCCUAUAUCAAUU